Molecule: long non-coding RNA, 200 nt
Filed under: Amborella trichopoda
Lineage: Eukaryota; Viridiplantae; Streptophyta; Magnoliopsida; Amborellales; Amborellaceae
Description: long non-coding RNA (ATRI_LNC003749)
Source: RNAcentral
GGAUAGGUCCACUUAUACCUCACCGGCGAACCGGAUGAGUCCACUUGCAUACUUAAAGUAUUUCUAAAUCUCUUUAAACAUUCGAAAGCAGCAAUAUCAUGUACUCAACAUAUUACUGAAAUCAUUAAUAUGAAUUUCACUGAAACCAUUAAUAACAGUCACUUUCAAUAACAUUUCAAAAAUAACCAAUCAAAUAUUUU